UACGGAGGGAGCUAGCGUUGUUCGGAAUUACUGGGCGUAAAGCGCGCGUAGGCGGCUUUGCAAGUUAGAGGUGAAAGCCCGGAGCUCAACUCCGGAACUGCCUUUAAAACUGCAUAGCUUGAAUCCGGGAGAGGUGAGUGGAAUUCCGAGUGUAGAGGUGAAAUUCGUAGAUAUUCGGAAGAACACCAGUGGCGAAGGCGACUUACUGGACACGUAUUGACGCUGAGGUGCGAAAGCGUGGGGAGCAAACAGG
Molecule: ribosomal RNA, 253 nt
Filed under: uncultured bacterium
Lineage: Bacteria
Description: partial 16S ribosomal RNA
Rfam family: Bacterial small subunit ribosomal RNA
Source: RNAcentral